RNAcentral lists this ribosomal RNA (18 nucleotides) under Wisteria floribunda (Japanese wisteria). Its description in RNAcentral is "partial 26S ribosomal RNA". The record is from RNAcentral. RNAcentral also lists the same sequence under 13 other names. Lineage: Eukaryota; Viridiplantae; Streptophyta; Magnoliopsida; Fabales; Fabaceae.
AGACCUCAGGUCAGGCGG